GGGGGGACCAGGGUGGUAGGGUGCAAGCGUGAUGAGCAUGUUUCUCAAUGAUCUCCCUGUAACCUGGUCCUGGUGACGUACAUCUUUUCAUUCUCCUUAUUCUCUUUCCUAUCACCCGAGCAAAGAGGCUUAUCUUGGGUGUGUGACAUCAUAGACAUCUCCUUGGUGUGUGGAGUGAGGCAUAGCUACCCUUUCCUAUCGAACGGUGCCUCUCAGCACAGCUUCCGCUGCUUGCCCUGGAAGGACACCACGGGUGGUUGGGUGGCUUGAAGUGCCAUGGCCAUGCGUUUCCGGGCGAGAUGAGCCUAUCUCACUUUUCCUGGUGUUAUCUCGCCUUUUAGCACAUUGAGCACUCAGCAGGGCCACGCUAAGUAAGAGGCGGAUGCAUGGGUUUCCUUCCAUGGCCACCCCAACGCAGGGCGAUCGUUCCAUCUCAGGGCCCACGCUAGCCAGAUAAUGGGGGAAGAGAGAACAAGCUGGGAUUUGCUCCCUGAAUCAUCUGAAUCAUCUGCCAGCUGUCUGCACAACCCGAGAGGCAGACCUGACCGGCUUUCAUGGUGAACCAUGAUGUUAGGAGAAGGGAACUCCAGCCGGACGAGUCAGUCCCAGGCGAGCUCUUCAGGCAGCAGCAUCCGGAGGCUUCAUCGUCUGGACUGCACAUGGAACACACUCUGUCUGGAAGUCACUAGAAGAAUAACUUCAGGAUCUGACGGACUGGACAGGAAAGAGACACUCCUCUGUGCUGCUAACGUGUUCUUAAGGACAGCUAAUAACUGAGCAAAGUCGGAGGUGGCCACAAGAAGGACAGCGAGUCCAGACUAGAAGAGAGAGAGUUAACCGUCCUCACACGGAGCAGCCUCUCCUUGUCACUUGGCAUCAUCAUGGCUGUCCUGCUAAAGACAAAACACAUUUUCCAAAAGAAGGCUCUUUUGACCCCUUGGCUGCUGUUCCAAAAUGGGGAAAUAUUACCAGGAUGAGAAUUACGCAGGGCAAAUAUUCAUGAAGAAAUGUGGUCUAAUGGAAGUCGCGUCUAUAAAAUAUCCAAUGCUUAGAAAUAAAUGAGAAUUCUGUCAAUCA
Molecule: long non-coding RNA, 1077 nt
Filed under: Felis catus (domestic cat)
Lineage: Eukaryota; Metazoa; Chordata; Mammalia; Carnivora; Felidae
Description: lncRNA (ENSFCAG00000042432.2)
Source: RNAcentral